Molecule: ribosomal RNA, 373 nt
Filed under: uncultured bacterium
Lineage: Bacteria
Description: bacterial SSU rRNA
Rfam family: Bacterial small subunit ribosomal RNA
Source: RNAcentral
ACAGAGGGUGCAAGCGUUAAUCGGAAUGACUGGGCGUAAAGGGCACGUAGGCGGAUAGAUGUGUCAUAGGUGAAAUCCCCGGGCUCAACCUGGGAACUGCCUGUGAAACUGUGUAUCUAGAAUAGAGUAGAGGUAAGUGGAAUUUCCGGUGUAGCGGUGAAAUGCGUAGAUAUCGGAAAGAACACCAGUGGCGAAGGCGACUUACUGGACUCAUAUUGACGCUGAGGUGCGAAAGCGUGGGGAGCAAACGGGAUUAGAUACCCCGGUAGUCCACGCUGUAAACGAUGAGAACUAGAUGCUUGUUGACUAAGGUUAAUGAGUAUUGAAGCAAACGCGUUAAGUUCUCCGCCUGGGGAGUACGGCCGCAAGGUUA